AACAAGCAAAAUCAGUACUUUAAACGUUCUUUAAGAGCAUUUUAUUUUCACUUAUAAGAAUCUUGUAGCAUGCUACAAAGUUGAAUUUGGGCGCAGUUAUACGAGCAUUUAGUUCUAUAACUAUCUUAUAAUCAUCUUAUACAAUGUUAUUAAGCCUUAUAAUAUACUUGACGAAGCUCAAUAGCGCCUUUAAUGAUAUGAGACUAAACAAUUACAAGUGCAAACACUCUUGUUAGUAUCUGACGUAAGUAUUUUAUUAGAGCAAUCUUGUUUAUAAAGCACUUGUAAUGGUCUUAGAAAAUAGUUUUAAGUAUAUUUUAAUACAAGUUAUUUUCGUUGUUGCUUUGACUGGUCGUGCCGGAUUUUUUGUGUUACCACGCACGUAAAAACGUUCAAAAUGCCAUUUAAAAUUGUUCAGACCAUUGAAAAGGGUAACAUUGUAUUGACAUGUGUACCACAUCAAUGGGAGAGCGAUGGAGUUUUGUAUUGGCCCAGAAAACAAACCCAGUCACAGACGAGUAAGUUACAAAAGGAUGAAGGUAGUUGGCCCGAUGAAUCUUGGGAAAAAAUAAACUGUGCGGUAAAAAGGCGGAGCAUAAAAACGUAUCAAAAUGCAAUACAUGAAAUUGAUAUAAUGAGCAAUAAUUCAGACACAGAACCUGACAUAGAAUACGUCUCAUCAAAAAAACAGCGCAAUUGCUCUGAUCUUCCACAGCUGUCAUAUGAUAAUAUGGCAGAAGAAAUUUUAAAGAAUAAUGAGCAUAAUGCUUCUUCAGCAAUAAUACCUGAAGAUGGAGAACAAAUAAUGGUGACUAAUUACGAAAUCACGACACCGAAAGAGUCAACUCCAUCUGAAACACCGUUGAGCGCGCCGCAAGAAAAUAUUGAAAAAUACAUUGUUAUUCCUGAAAGUAAUCAGUCGGACACACCUAUAAUAUACUCGUACAUUAAUAAAGAAACAAGUUUAUCAGAAGAACAAUGCGAAUUAAAAUCCAUGAAAAUAGAUAUCACCACUAUUAAAAGUGACCUAAAAUCCAUAAAUGACGAUAUGAAGACUAUAAUGGGGACCCUGAACACAACACUAAAUAAUCAAGCCGUAUUACACGAAACACUGAAAUCGAUUUUAUUACAAGUGACUGAAAUACAAGUUACGAACGAAGAAUUCAUUAAAAAAUCUAUUACAGAAAAACAAAACCAUUCGUUGAUGUUAAAACCAAUACAAGAUUUAAAAGAUUUAGAAGAGUUUGAAAAUAAAUUGAUGGAUUCUGAUUAUAGAGAAGAUUUACUAAGAAAGUUUAGUGUGUUUGGCACUAAAGGGACAGGAAAGGGAAUCACAAGAGCAUAUACAAUUAUUGAUAUUUUGUUUGAAAGAAAGUUUUUCAAAUCGUGUUCGUGGACUGGAGCUUCACGUUCCCAAAAUGAAACAACAGAAAAAAUCUGCUUAAAGGUUUCUCUAAGAUGAUUGGUUUCUUUUUUGAAGUUAUUUAUAAACAAGACUCGUCGUUCCAUUUAACUGACUGUCAUAAUUUUUUUAAAACAAUUUUGCGAAAUGCCGAUCAGCGGGCCAAAUCGAAGCAAUUACGAACUUCCGCAAGUAAAUGCAGAGGAAAAAUAGCGCCAAAAGGACUUCUUCUGAAAAUCCUACAUCUACACCACAAACCACUGGUAACCAAUUAGAAGUUGAAGAUGUUACAGAGGAAAUUUUUGUCUGAAACUAUUUGAUCUAAUUUUAUUUGACUAAGUGACUUUUGCAUCAAUAUUAAUUAUAACACGAGAGACAUUAGACUACCCCAAUCUGUCUUUGACAGUUUGGGAUAGUCUGACGUGCUGUCGUCACUCAAAUACAAAUAGAUCAAUAUCCUAGUAACUAAAUCAAAUCAUUUCAGACAAAAAUUUAGUCUGAUCUGAUUUGCUGAAAUUAUCUUCUAAGUUGUGUAGUUUUAGUAAAUUUUACCAGACUGCGACGAUGCUCAAAAUUAGGGUUAUAUAUUUGACCUGAAUUAAAGAAUAUAAUCUUAUAUUAUAUUAUAAAAAAUAUUUCAAUUUAAAUUUGCCAUAAAGAUGAUUACAUGAUCUUAAUGGCGAAGUUAAAUUGAUAUAUUUUGUUUAACUCGUAAAGUUUUAUUAGUUAUAAGAUUUAUUAGUACAAGGAAGCUAAGAUAAAUUUAAAAUUGUUGCCAGCACAUUAAGCAACCCCAAAAAAUCUGACAAAUUUCUUUAAAUGACUUUCAACUUUAUUACACAUAAAACAUUCAUAAUAUAAUAAGGUGCUUAUAUGUUAUGGAUUACGUUCAAUUUUGAAAAUUUGUCAGAUUUUUGAGAUAGGUUGAUGUGCUGGC
Molecule: long non-coding RNA, 2339 nt
Organism: Helicoverpa armigera (cotton bollworm)
Lineage: Eukaryota; Metazoa; Arthropoda; Insecta; Lepidoptera; Noctuidae
Exons: 4
Source: RefSeq, a predicted model, not a curated record